UAAAACGUAGGAGGCGAGCGUUAUCCGGAGUUACUGGGCGUAAAGCGCGUGUAGGUGGUCUGUUACGUCUGCUGUGAAAGAUCCCGGCUUAACCGGGAGAGUGCGGCGGAUACGGGCAGACUGGAGGGUGACAGAGGAGCGUAGAAUUCCGGGUGUAGUGGUGAAAUGCGUAGAGAUCCGGAGGAAUACCAGUGGCGCAAGCGGCGCUCUGGGUCGCACCUGACACUGAGACGCGAAGGCAUGGGGAGCGAACGGGAUUAGAAACCCCGGUAGUCCAUGCAGUAAACGAUGCCGACUGGGUGUGGGAUACGCAAGUAUUCUGUGCCGAAGCCAACGCGCUAAGUCGGCCGCCUGGGAAGUACGGUCGCAAGACUA
This 375-nucleotide ribosomal RNA is filed under the name uncultured bacterium. Its description in RNAcentral is "bacterial SSU rRNA". It matches the Rfam family "Bacterial small subunit ribosomal RNA", at positions 521 to 896 of the family's 1533-position model. The record is from RNAcentral.